CCCGGCCAAAAAUUAAACUCUCUCCUCCCUUUUUAAAAUAGAAUUCUAGGUCAAACUCGUAUCAUCCUCUCUCUCUCUCUCUCUCUCUCUCUCUCUCCCUCCCUCCUCCUCCUCCUCCUCCUCCUCCUCUCAGAGGCUCAUUAUCUCAAAAUCUCCUUUUCAAAUUCGAUUUCGGGAGUCCGAUGCCGGCGGUGCAGGAAGAUUCGCCGGAGGCCCAGCGAUAUCUAGAAAUCCGACGCCGUUACUGCGAUGGUCCUCAGAGCCGAAGAACAAAGCCAGCUACAGCUCGUUGAACUCGAAGACAUUGAUGAUGAAGACGACCUCUUCGAAGCGAUCGAUAAGUGGAAUCAAUGUUGGAGAUGCUUCAGGACGCAGGGAUCUACAUCUGCAAUGGCUUCAGGACGCAGGGAUCUACACCAAGAAUGUAGAUUUCCAUAAUUAAACAUGCAGUUUGAUUCAAAUACCACGUUCUAUACCUCAAGUCUUGCUGACUGAGCUUGUUUGUUACUUUUCAGCUUCCUACUAACAUGCAUGGAGGGAAUGGAAAUGUUGCUUAAAUUGAUACUGAGGGAAUUUUGUGCCUUGUUUACAUUAUUGGUUUGAUAAUGUGAUUUGAUGGGAAAGUAGAAAUUAAAUCCUGGCUGCUGGAAGUGUUAAUUACAAUGUCGUAUUAUUAUAAAGUCUUAUUUUUAUACUUCCAAUUCAAUGCUGUUAUCAUUUCGUUUUGGAAAAUUGAUGAAGUUAUUGGUAGAUGCUUAAACUACUUUUCUUAUUUCUUUGUAUCCCAAUAUUGUCACUGUGAUAAGAUCCAUUAGACAAUGGGAUUCAUCCCAUGUGAGAGACAGAGAGAGUUGGAAAGACAAGUGUUAGGGAAAUGACUGGGCUGUACAGCACUGUCCUAACUCUAAGAUAAUUGACAUCUGGUCUAUUGUUGCCCCUUUCUUAUUGUUAAUUAGACUUGAAUUUCUAUAUCAUAGUCCAGUACCAUUGUAUUAUUCAGUAUUUUGUCUAUUGUAUUCUCAGGUUUUGGGAGGUUUUGAAGAAUCAAAGUAUGUUACUGAAAGGAAAUGGGCUAGUGCUCCAGAUGGUACUCAGAUUCCAAUAUCAAUUGUUUACAGGAAGGACAUUAUAAAGCUUGAUGGAUCUGAUCCAUUGCUACUCUAUGGCUAUGGUUCUUACGAGGGUAAACCAUGGAGAAUUUUGUUGGAUCGGGGUUUUAUUUACUAUAGCUCAUAUUCGUGGUGGUGGUGAAAUGGGUAGGAAAUGGUAUGAGAAUGGGAAGUUACUGAAGAAGAAAAAUACUUUUACAGAUUUUAUUGCCUAUGCUGAAUAUUUGAUUGAAAAGAAAUAUUGUUCAAAAGAAAAAUUAAGUAUAGAUGGAAGGAGUGCUGGUGGAUUGCUCAUUGGUGCUGUUCUUAAUAUGAGACCUGAUUUGUUCAACGCUGCUGUUGCUGGAGUGCCUUUUGUUGAUGUGUUGACUACAGUGCUUGACCCAACAAUCCCUCUCACAACUUCAGAGUGGGAGGAAUGGGGUGAUCCGCGUAGAGAAGAAUUCUACUAUUACAUGAAGUCAUAUUCUCCUGUUGAUAUGACACAAGAAUUCUACUAAAUGGUUUUAUUUGAACCAAAACAAAGGGAAACCUGGUUGACCAAUUCAAAUAGGAAUUCUGCAAGUUAUAUGGCAUGAUGCUUGAGCCUUUGCUGAAUGUUUAUCUGCAAGCAGGAGAUUUUUUUCUCUCGAGCUUGUCUUGCACUUGCCUCUCUAAGAAACACAGAGAACUUGAUGCUUUGGCCAAUAACCAUGAAACUAUUUCAAUGGCAAUCAUAUACUUGUUCCUGGCAAUCAUCUACUAUUUCAAUGGAAUGUGAUAUAUUGUGAUACCAUGUGGAAUGUGGAAUAUUGUGAUAGAUAUCAUUCGCUAACUUAUCGAUUUUAUUAGUCAAAGGAUUAAAUGAUGUAAUGAGGUUUAGUAUAUCAUUAUUACACUUGUUGUAAUAU
This is an RNA transcript of Rosa chinensis, 1999 nucleotides long. RefSeq lists it as uncharacterized. NCBI's taxonomy places the organism in Eukaryota, Viridiplantae, Streptophyta, Magnoliopsida, Rosales, Rosaceae. The transcript is spliced from 6 exons. The record is from RefSeq and is a predicted model, not a curated record.